CUGGUGAGACAGAAGUGCCGGCGGUGUGGACGGCAAUCCUUGCCACCAAGGAGGGGAAAGGCUGCCUGAGAAUAAAGCCAGCCCUUGAGUAAACAGAGCCAAAAGCAAGAGAGCCCUUUUCCUGAUGAUAUUGCUUGGGCUCCUAGAUUCAGCCAUGUCUGAAGACUAACCUAUACUUUUCACUUUUGUGAAACAGUGGCUUCUCUUCUUGGGAGAAAAGGUCAUGUGAGGAGAGCAGGAAGAUGGCUUAUCUAUACACCAGGAAGAGAGCUCUCACCAGAACCCGACCACACUGGCACCCUGAGCUCAGCCUUCCAGCCUCCAGAAUGAUUUCUGCACUUUCGUAUACAUGGAAUCAACCCUACCACACAUUGUCUAACGUGACCACCUUCUUUCACUUAGCAUGACGCCUUCAAGGUUUAUCUCUGCUGCAGCGGUACUUCUUUCCUUUUCAUGGCUGAAUGACAUUCUACUGGAUGGAUAUUCCACACUUUUCUGUAUCCAUUCAUAAGUCGGUGGAUACUGGGUUGUUGCUUCUUUGGGGGCUGUUACGAAUAAUGCUGCAAUGAACAUU
Molecule: long non-coding RNA, 574 nt
Organism: Hyaena hyaena (striped hyena)
Lineage: Eukaryota; Metazoa; Chordata; Mammalia; Carnivora; Hyaenidae
Exons: 3
Source: RefSeq, a predicted model, not a curated record